GAUGAACGCUGGCGGCGUGCCUAAUACAUGCAAGUCGAGCGAACAGACGAGGAGCUUGCUCCUCUGACGUUAGCGGCGGACGGGUGAGUAACACGUGGAUAACCUACCUAUAAGACUGGGAUAACUUCGGGAAACCGGAGCUAAUACCGGAUAAUAUAUUGAACCGCAUGGUUCAAUAGUGAAAGACGGUUUUGCUGUCACUUAUAGAUGGAUCCGCGCCGCAUUAGCUAGUUGGUAAGGUAACGGCUUACCAAGGCAACGAUGCGUAGCCGACCUGAGAGGGUGAUCGGCCACACUGGAACUGAGACACGGUCCAGACUCCUACGGGAGGCAGCAGUAGGGAAUCUUCCGCAAUGGGCGAAAGCUUGACGGAGCAACGCCGCGUGAGUGAUGAAGGGCUUCGGAUCGUAAAACUCUGUUAUUAGGGAAGAACAAAUGUGUAAGUAACUAGGCACGUCUUGACGGUACCUAAUCAGAAAGCCACGGCUAACUACGUGC
RNAcentral lists this ribosomal RNA (498 nucleotides) under uncultured bacterium. RNAcentral's name for it is "partial 16S ribosomal RNA". It matches the Rfam family "Bacterial small subunit ribosomal RNA", at positions 28 to 508 of the family's 1533-position model. The record is from RNAcentral.